CUCUUUGACCAGGCUAGAGCGCCAGCGCUCCUCUGACCCGGCACACUUUGGCAAAGUUGCAGUGGCCUGUUUGCUUAGGCACUGAAGUGGAUGACCCAAGUUAGGAUGACAACUUGCAGAGAACGCGGAUGAGACCUUCAGUUUGUGCCCACACUCAUUUGCAGCAACCCUAACAGAGAUUGCGAAGAUUUUCAAAGUGGGGCACCUCGAUUUCUCGAAUCUGUGGUGUGGCGAAUAUCCGUGUUCCUCCUGCUUAACUAGCCUGUUUGGCAGGUCUGAUUCUAUUUAUUCUAAAGACAGAGUUGGAGAUGGGCUACCAUUGGUGUUGAUUGAGAUGACAAGCAGUCACCUGAGCCCAUACAGCUGUGGGAGAAAGUGCUUGCUGCCAAGCUUGAUGACCUAAAUUGAAUACCUGGAACCUACACGACAGAAAGAGAGAGCUGACUGCUGAAAGAUGUCCUCAGAUCUUCACAUGUGCACAGUGGCACCUAUCCAACCAUGCACAUAGUAUAUUAAAAAUUAUUUUUUAAAAAAUCCAGUGA
RNAcentral lists this long non-coding RNA (542 nucleotides) under Mus musculus (house mouse). RNAcentral describes it as "Hand2, opposite strand 1". Lineage: Eukaryota; Metazoa; Chordata; Mammalia; Rodentia; Muridae. The record is from RNAcentral.